UUUCCCUUAGAUGAAAAUAGAUACAAGAGAGAAGACUGGUAUGGCCCCUGCACAAGGAUGACAUACAAAUGUGUGAAGCAGUCUAUAUUGUU
Molecule: small nuclear RNA, 92 nt
Filed under: Lynx canadensis (Canada lynx)
Lineage: Eukaryota; Metazoa; Chordata; Mammalia; Carnivora; Felidae
Source: RNAcentral